CCCCGGGUCCGCGCUCGCCGAAGACACCUUAGAACUCUGUCUGAAGAUUGUAGUCUGAGAUUAAAUAUAAAUUAUUUAAAACUUUCAACAACGGAUCUCUUGGUUCCGGCAUCGAUGAAGAACGCAGCGAAAUGCGAUACGUAAUGUGAAUUGCAGAAUUCAGUGAAUCAUCGAGUCUUUGAACGCACAUUGCGCCCUCUGGUAUUCCGGAGGGCAUGCCUGUCCGAGCGUCAUUGCUGCCCUCAAGCACGGCUUGUGUGUUGGGCUCCGUCCUCCUUCCGGGGGACGGGCCCGAAAGGCAGCGGCGGCACCGCGUCCGGUCCUCAAGCGUAUGGGGCUUUGUCACCCGCUUUGUAGGACUGGCCGGCGCCUGCCGAAUCCCAAACUUUUUUCCAGGUUGACCUCGGAUCAGGUAGGGAUACCCGCUGAACUUAAGCAUAUCAAUA
RNAcentral lists this ribosomal RNA (446 nucleotides) under Penicillium sp. AU26. RNAcentral's name for it is "eukaryotic LSU rRNA". The stretch from base 80 to 233 matches the Rfam family "5.8S ribosomal RNA". The record is from RNAcentral. Lineage: Eukaryota; Fungi; Ascomycota; Eurotiomycetes; Eurotiales; Aspergillaceae.